Molecule: ribosomal RNA, 253 nt
Filed under: uncultured bacterium
Lineage: Bacteria
Description: partial 16S ribosomal RNA
Rfam family: Bacterial small subunit ribosomal RNA
Source: RNAcentral
UACGGAGGUGGCAAGCGUUGCUCGGAAUCACUGGGCGUAAAGGGCGCGUAGGCGGGGAGGUAAGUCGGGUGUGAAGUCCCUCGGCCCAACCGAGGAACUGCGCCCGAGACUGCUUCUCUUGAGUCCCGGAGAGGAAGAUGGAAUUCCCGGUGUAGCGGUGAAAUGUGUAGAGAUCGGGAGGAACACCAGUGGCGAAGGCGACUACCUGGCCUGUUCUUAACGCUGAGGCGCGAAAGCUAGGGGAGCAAACGGG